Molecule: ribosomal RNA, 240 nt
Filed under: uncultured bacterium
Lineage: Bacteria
Description: partial 16S ribosomal RNA
Rfam family: Bacterial small subunit ribosomal RNA
Source: RNAcentral
GAUCCUGGCUCAGGAUGAACGCUGGCGGCGUGCUUAACACAUGCAAGUCGAACGGAACUACUUUGAUGAGAUUCUUCGGAAAGGAUUUGAUUUAGUUUAGUGGCGGACGGGUGAGUAACGCGUGGGUAACCUGCCUCAUACAGGGGGAUAACAGUUGGAAACGGCUGCUAAUACCGCAUAAGCGCACAGUACCGCAUGGUACAGUGUGAAAAACUCCGGUGGUGUGAGAUGGACCCGCGU